CAGUCGCCACGGGAAUACGUAAGGGGCAAGCGUUAUCCGGAAUUACUGGGUGUAAAGGGAGCGUAGACGGUUAAACAAGUCUGAAGUGAAAUGCCGGGGCUCAACCCCGGAGCUGCUUUGGGAACUGUAGAACUGGAGUGCCGGAGGGGUAAGCGGAAUUCCCAGUGUAGCGGUGAAAUGCGUAGAUAUUGGGAGGAACACCGGCGGCGAAGGCGGCUUACUGGACGACAACUGACGUUGAGGCUCGAAGGCGUGGGUAGCAAACAGGAUUAGAUACCCCGGUAGUCCCUGUCUCUUAUAA
This 301-nucleotide ribosomal RNA is filed under the name uncultured bacterium. RNAcentral describes it as "partial 16S ribosomal RNA". It matches the Rfam family "Bacterial small subunit ribosomal RNA", at positions 509 to 809 of the family's 1533-position model. The record is from RNAcentral.